This 253-nucleotide ribosomal RNA is filed under the name uncultured bacterium. Its description in RNAcentral is "partial 16S ribosomal RNA". It matches the Rfam family "Bacterial small subunit ribosomal RNA", at positions 524 to 776 of the family's 1533-position model. The record is from RNAcentral.
UACAGAGGUCUCAAGCGUUGUUCGGAUUCAUUGGGCGUAAAGGGUGCGUAGGCGGCGCGGUAAGUUGGAUGUGAAAUCCUGGGGCUCAACCUCAGAAUUGCAUUCAAUACUGCUUAGCUAGAGAGCUGUAGAGGAGACUGGAAUUUACGGUGUAGCAGUGAAAUGCGUAGAUAUCGUAAGGAACGCCAGUGGCGAAAGCGAGUCUCUGGGCAGCAUCUGACACUGAGGCACGAAGGCCAGGGGAGCAAACGGG